GUCAAUGACCCCUUUUAAAAACAGAAGUGAAGUUAAUGUUUUCUGACUUCUUAGGUUCCCAGUUCUGGAAACAGAACUCAAGAAAAAUAUAUGCUGUGCCUGAAAGUGACUUUGUGGAGUUUCAGAAUGGGAGAAGAGCUAAAACAAGUCGAAGGGAUGGAGAUUCAAGCCUGCAGGAGGUCCUUGGACGUGUUGACCAGCUGAAGCAAGCCGCUGGGAGUCUCCAAGAGGUCACUAAUUCAAUCAACCAGCUGUCUCAGCUGGCCAAGUCUCAAAAGGAGGAGAUAAUGGCAAAUGUCGGUUUGCAGCCCUUAAAGGAAGCCUUUGCAUGUCUUGUGUGUAAAGCUGUAAUGGCAGAUCCCAUGUUCGCCACAUGCUGUGAAUCGAUAAUUGGAUGUCGUACCUGUGUGGAGCUGUGGUUAGUCACAUCAGACCACUGCUUGAAAUGCAGGGCAGGAGAAUAAAAUACAUGAAGUGAAGGGUCUCUCUGCUGCCUUGUCACUUUUCAAGGAGAGAGAAAUUGAUUUGAUUUGAUAGAUAAUUGUUUGUUAUUGUUUGUUAUGUUUACAUUACUGGAACUACCUCAGUUUGUUUGUUGGAUGUUAUUAUGGGUACAUGACCAGAAAGAUGUUGUUUGUUGUAAUGUUUAUAUUGUG
Molecule: long non-coding RNA, 656 nt
Organism: Gadus chalcogrammus (walleye pollock)
Lineage: Eukaryota; Metazoa; Chordata; Actinopteri; Gadiformes; Gadidae
Exons: 3
Source: RefSeq, a predicted model, not a curated record